GAUAAACGCUAGCGGCAGGCUUAACACAUGCAAGUCGAGGGGCAGCAUAGAUUGUAGCAAUACAAUUGGUGGCGACCGGCGCACGGGCGCGUAACGCGUAUGCAACCUACCCGUCACAGGGGGAUAAUCCGGAGAAAUCUGGUCUAAUACCCCAUAACAUAUGGAUCGGCAUCGGUUCAUGUUGAAAUUUUCGGAGGUGACGGAUGGGCAUGCGUAGCAUUAGCUUGUUGGUGAGGUAACGGCUCAGCAAGGCGACGAUGCUUAGGGGGACUGAGAGGUUUUCCCCCCACACUGGUACUGAGACACGGACCAGACUCCUACGGGAGGCAGCAGUGAGGAUAUUGGUCAAUGGGCGCAAGCCUGAACCAGCCAUGCCGCGUGCAGGAUGACGGCUCUAUGAGUUGUAAACUGCUUUUGUACGAGGGUAAAGUGGGUUACGUGUAACCUUUUGAAAGUAUCGUACGAAUAAGGAUCGGCUAACUCCGUGCCAGCCGCCGCAGUAA
Molecule: ribosomal RNA, 503 nt
Filed under: uncultured bacterium
Lineage: Bacteria
Description: partial 16S ribosomal RNA
Rfam family: Bacterial small subunit ribosomal RNA
Source: RNAcentral